Molecule: unclassified non-coding RNA, 343 nt
Filed under: uncultured fungus
Lineage: Eukaryota; Fungi
Description: sequence contains ITS1, 5.8S rRNA gene, ITS2 and 28S rRNA gene
Rfam family: 5.8S ribosomal RNA (bases 177-330)
Source: RNAcentral
GGAAGGAUCAUUAUUGAAUAAACCUGAUGGGUUGUUGCUGGCUCUCUAGAGAGCAUGUGCACGCCUUGUCAUCUUUAAAUCUCCACCUGUGCACCUUUUGUAGACCUUUUCAGGUCUAUGUUGUCUCAUUUACCCCAAUGUAUGUUAAUAGAAUGUUGUGACUAUAUAAUAUAUACAACUUUCAGCAACGGAUCUCUUGGCUCUCGCAUCGAUGAAGAACGCAGCGAAAUGCGAUAAGUAAUGUGAAUUGCAGAAUUCAGUGAAUCAUCGAAUCUUUGAACGCACCUUGCGCUCCUUGGUAUUCCGAGGAGCAUGCCUGUUUGAGUGUCAUUAAUAUAUAUAU